CCUUGUACACACCGCCCGUCACGCCAUGGGGGUUGGUUUCACCCGAAGGUGGUGCGCUAACCCGCAAGGGAGGCAGCCAACCACGGUGGGAUCAGCGACUGGGGUG
Molecule: ribosomal RNA, 106 nt
Filed under: uncultured bacterium
Lineage: Bacteria
Description: partial 16S ribosomal RNA
Rfam family: Bacterial small subunit ribosomal RNA
Source: RNAcentral